AACGCGAAGAACCUUACCUGGGCUUGAACUACUGGAAGUAAGAUUCCGGAAACGGAAGAUGACCUGUCAAAUCAGGAACCAGCAGAGGUGCUGCAUGGCUGUCGUCAGCUCGUGUCGUGAGAUGUUGGGUUAAGUCCCGCAACGAGCGCAACCCUUAUCCCAUGUUGCUCAAUGGUCGCAAGGCCAUCGUACUCUUGGGAAACUGCCUCGGAUAACGGGGAGGAAGGUGGGGAUGACGUCAAGUCCUCAUGGCCUUUAUGUCCAGGGCUACACACGUGCUACAAUGGCCGGUACAACGGGAUGCAAGUUCGCAAGGAUGAGCCAAUCCCUUAAAACCGGCCCCAGUUCAGAUUGUGGGCUGCAACUCGCCCACAUGAAGGCGGAAUCGCUAGUAAUCGCAGAUCAGCAGGCUGCGGUGAAUACGUUCCCGGGCCUUGUACACACCGCUACAGU
Molecule: ribosomal RNA, 453 nt
Filed under: uncultured bacterium
Lineage: Bacteria
Description: bacterial SSU rRNA
Rfam family: Bacterial small subunit ribosomal RNA
Source: RNAcentral